CGGCAGUCGAUACCUUGUUGUAUGACCUUAAACUUGUUACUCUGAAGUUAUACAGCUCUGAAGAUGCCCUUAAUUUUAUAAUGCCAGUGUCGCAAGAUUUGUCUCCUACUCCUAACCUGGGGCCCGCUUAUUUAAUAUGAAAAUUGGAUAUUGGGGAAUUUAUACCAGGAAAAAUCCCAAUUUGGAAUUAGAGUUCCAAUUCGGAAGUUGGGGUUUCAUCAAUUCUUCCCAACGCUAAGAGGAUGCAUGAUUUUGGAGUUCCUUCUAGGCAGUUACUCUCGGCUUCAAAAACCACGAAAAUCUCACUUAUUGCUGCAGAAAAAUAUUGUCAUCAUCGAUCAAAUUCAUUUAAUUGAUGAUGAAAUCUUUCUUUUGCCUCGCCUUGUAGACCAGUAACCCUGUAGCUCUGUAUCCCUCCUUCUGUCUGGCAAACAUCUCAUUUACUUAUGACAACAUCUUCACUCUCCUUAUCUUUUUUCCGUAUCCAAUUUUAUAAUGUGUCCAUUCCUCUUUUAUCCACAACCUCUCUAUUCCUAACCUCAUCCGUGUAUUCCUAACCAUGCUCCCUCUUAUCCUUCCCAGAUCGACCUGAAUGACAACGCAACCGUCAAAUGUGCCAAAUGCACUUGUGUGCGAGGGCAAGUUCGGUGUCACCAUAUGGCAGCCGUUUUGAUAUAUGCCCACCACCAUAUUUCCGUCACGGACAAAUCCUGUGGUUGGAAAAAAGGUAAAGAGGCAACAGAAGAGAAAGUCGUCACCAUUGAUGAAAUGUUUACCUCCACAGAGAAACAGAACUACAGAGCCACUGCUAGCCGACCAGACGGGUUAAGGGAAAAACUUUAUCACCAGCUGAGAGAGGCCUUCGGGCAUCAUGUUGCUUUUUGCUGGUUUUUGUCGCCAGAGGUAGCUGCUCCAGAGGAGCUGCAUAAUUUAGAGUCUGUUCUACGCUCUGAGGAGUUUAAGAAUUGUCCUGAUAAAGUUAAGUUUCUGCAAGAGCGUGUGAGAGUGUGUGCUGAGCAAAUUAAUAUGAUUGAAAGGAAUACAAUUGGACAAUCUAAAAAUCAUCUAUGGUUAAUUACCAGGAGAUUUCUGUUAACUGCCAGUUGUUUCGGUGAAGCACAUCCCCAUCAAACAGAAUCUCAUAGAUGCAUGCUGCAAACCGAACGCAUUUUCUCUUAUUUUUGAAACAAGUUUUGUCACCUUGAAGGCAAGGCUUUUGUCUUUUUUCUUAAACCUGUUUUUGUGCACACUAUUUAAUCUAGAUUUUCUGCUAGAUACUCAUUAGAACUUUAAAAGUCUUGAAUGGUCCAUCAAAGAGUUAUUUGUAUAGAGAGAAGGCACUUCUCCCUUAAUUACCUAUUUUCAAAAUUUCAUUUUUUUCCUCUCUUCAAAAAUUUAAUUUAAUUUACAUUAAUUGGCAAAAGCCCUCUUACAUGUUUGGGCAGG
RNAcentral lists this long non-coding RNA (1446 nucleotides) under Bemisia tabaci. RNAcentral describes it as "lncRNA ENSSSA3NGG007769". The record is from RNAcentral. Lineage: Eukaryota; Metazoa; Arthropoda; Insecta; Hemiptera; Aleyrodidae.